CAUGUAGGCGGCUUAAUAAGUCGAGCGUGAAAAUGCGGGGCUCAACCCCGUAUGGCGCUGGAAACUGUUAGGCUUGAGUGCAGGAGAGGAAAGGGGAAUUCCCAGCGUAGCGGUGAAAUGCGUAGAUAUUGGGAGGAACACCAGUGGCGAAGGCGCCUUCUGGACUGUGUCUGACGCUUAGAUGCGAAAGCCAGGGUAGCGAACG
This 205-nucleotide ribosomal RNA is filed under the name uncultured bacterium. Its description in RNAcentral is "partial 16S ribosomal RNA". It matches the Rfam family "Bacterial small subunit ribosomal RNA", at positions 568 to 774 of the family's 1533-position model. The record is from RNAcentral.